RNAcentral lists this transfer RNA (72 nucleotides) under Bos taurus (domestic cattle). It matches the Rfam family "tRNA". Rfam says of the family: Transfer RNA (tRNA) molecules are approximately 80 nucleotides in length. Their secondary structure includes four short double-helical elements and three loops (D, anti-codon, and T loops). RNAcentral also lists the same sequence under 5 other names. Lineage: Eukaryota; Metazoa; Chordata; Mammalia; Artiodactyla; Bovidae. The record is from Rfam by way of RNAcentral.
UCCCUGAUAGCUCAGUUGGUAAAGAAUCCGCCUGCAAUGCAGGAGACCCUGGUUCGAUUUCUGGCUGGGGAA